AAGAAAGGGAAAAGGAAAAAAGGUGUUUAUGCCAAUGAAUUGUGCAAUUUAAAUAGCCCAAAGUCUAGGAUAAGAGAAGCCCUGUAAUAUCCAAAUAUCACAGUUUUUUUUUUCUUGGACCUGCAGUAGCGGUCAGCUCAAGACAGAAUGUCCUAAUGCUGCUCUUCUGGACUCUUAUAAAUGGGGACAUAGUUAUGGAAUAAAAAAAUUUACAUCAUAUGCACAUGGCACUUACUACAUGCCCAUGUACCAUCGUAGGCACUUAACUCAUGUCAUUCUCACAGCCAUCCUUUGGGGUAAGCACCUAUUAGUGCCCAUUUUGUAGAAGAGGACGCCUAGGCCUAGAAUUGCCCUAAGUCACGGGUUGAUCACUGGUGGAGUUAGGAUUUGAAUGCCGUCAGGCAGGUGCCAGAGCUCAUUUGCUGAAUCACCUAAUUCUGACUAACCGCCUCUCUGAAGGUACGCUGGAAGGGUAGAGAGAAAGAACGUUACUUGACUGCAUCAUUGUAGGCACAGCUAAAUACGUGGUUGCACACCUUUUGGCUCCUCAUGCAGCAGCAGGAAAUUUGACACCAGUGUGUUUGCUUUCCUUUCUGUAUGUGACCUUGGUGGGGAGCAGAUAGACUCUCAGUGUCACCCAGAAUGUGCUGACUUCCCACAGCUCCGACAUCAUUGCAAAAGGCUGUACUUCCUGUUAAAAUUUCAUGUGUGUGUUCACACUCAAAAGCUAAUAACUGCUGACUCUUCUGUGGGUUCUCUCAAUCUGGAGAACAUCCUUCCUACCAGGCGGUGAAGUGGUUCAGCAAUGAAAAACAACAUACUUUGGAACACCCCCAGCGAUCUGGAAAUGUUGCUCUGUUAUAGGAAUAGACACAGCAUGAUUUUAACAAUUGUGAAAGUUCCCUUAUGAAGACCAGGAAAAAAGUUGGGCUAAACGGACAGAACACAAAUUCUCUGGGCAGCCCCGGUGGCCCAGUGGUUUAGUGCCGCCUUCCGCCUGGG
Long non-coding RNA from Canis lupus familiaris (dog), 1002 nucleotides. RefSeq lists it as uncharacterized. The record is from RefSeq and is a predicted model, not a curated record. Lineage: Eukaryota; Metazoa; Chordata; Mammalia; Carnivora; Canidae. The transcript is spliced from 3 exons.